This is a non-coding RNA of Podarcis lilfordi (Lilford's wall lizard), 122 nucleotides long. NCBI's taxonomy places the organism in Eukaryota, Metazoa, Chordata, Lepidosauria, Squamata, Lacertidae. The record is from the annotation of a GenBank genome assembly.
CCUUCCAACCAUGCCACUCUCUAUGCAUUGGAAGGCAAAUAACAUAGAAUUAUAGAUUUGUAUUCUAUGAUUCUAUUAUAUUUGCCUUCCAGUGCAUGGGAGAGUGGCAUGGUUGAGCAAGA